Molecule: long non-coding RNA, 1748 nt
Organism: Gadus macrocephalus (Pacific cod)
Lineage: Eukaryota; Metazoa; Chordata; Actinopteri; Gadiformes; Gadidae
Exons: 2
Source: RefSeq, a predicted model, not a curated record
UUUUUUUGCCGAUUUCGAAUGACACAAAGCAAAAUCAUCUCUACAGAUGGCAUGUUUGCGAUUGAUGAUGCCGGUAAUUUGUGACUAGAGAGUCACUGCCCUCUAGAGGAUGUAUUGCGUAACACCCAUAACAACGCUGAAACCAGAAGGAGGUAUGACGCCUCGUGCCCACUGCCUCCGUCCGUUGACUGAUCCCUAAUGACUUUUAAUGGGGACGGACGCGCAAUGCAUUGUGGAUCCGUGCGCUGAAGGCUCCGUCAGCGACGGAUCCGUCAUCCAAUCAGAUCACGCAUGCAAAUUUAAGCACUCUGACACUACUCGUCCUUUGACACUACACGUCCUUUGACUGACGGUGCAGUGGGCACAAGGACAGUUGAUGUAUCAUUAUUAGACAACAAAAAUAGAAAUAAACAAGUAAUACAGGAGUACAUAGACAAAUUCUAUAGCUAUGUUCAAAUUUAUACAGAUGCGUCGAAGUAAUAAAGUAGGGGUAGCUUUUACUGUACCGGAAUUUCGAGUGAAAAUAGGGAAGAGGGUUAAUAAUGAGGUAUCAGUUUAUGCAGGUGAACUGCUGGCAAUACUUUUGGCAGUGCAGUGGGUGGAGGACAACAGGCCAUUAAGGUCAGUUAUUUGCUCAGAUUCCAGUUCAGCAUUAAAGAGCCUACAGUACAACCGUUCCGAAAGCAGACCAGAUAUUUUGAUUGAGGUUCAACAGACAUUAUACCGUAUUCAAAUGAUGGGGCUUAUAGUGUUUUUUUUUAUGGGUUCCAGCACACAUUGGGAUUAGAGGAAAUGAAAUGGCACAUAAGCUUGCAAAAGAUGUUACAAAAAAAAGCGUAAUUGAUAUAAGUAUAAAUAUAGGUACAACUAAAAUUAAAGGGAUUAUUAAGCAAAUACUGAAUAAGAGAUGGCUGAAGCAGUGGGAAGAAGAGCGGAAAGAAAGAUGGUUUUACAGAGUGCAAAGGAAAGUGGGAGAAAUUAGAUGUGGAGAUAAGAGCAGAAGAGAGGAGUCGGUUCUAUCAAGACUGAGAUUUGGGCACACAGAGACCGCAGAACAUGUUAUAAUGCAGUGUGAGAGAUAUGAGGAAGGCAGAAGGCAGAUGAGGGGAAAAUUCAGAAAAGAAAAAGUAAGUUUUGAUUUAAUACACAUUUUACAAAUGAAUUCCAAUAAGUGUCUUAGGGUAACUAAUUUGGUUUUGAAAAUAUAGGUUCUAAAGUAUUUUAAUUAUUAUUAUCUUUAUUUUAUUUUUAUUUUAUUUUUUAUUUAUUUAUUUUGAAGCGAGGUUGAUAUUUGUGCCAAACUCCAUACCAGUAGAUGGCGGUAAUGCAUCUUUAAGUUGUUUACCAACUGCCAAAAAACAGGACACAAGAAGAAGAAGUGGGCAAGAGACGUGACGGCCUUGCAGGAACGCUACUUAAUUCUUCAGAAGAUGUGCUUUAGGGCCGUGCAGAGACCCUUUGAGGGGCAGGGGCUCAAAUUCCAAAAAGGGCACAUGUAAAUCCGCCUUACAUCAGACUACAUUCACACAAAUAUUAUCCAUCCAAAAUGCUACAAUCUGACUUCAAACUGUGUGUGUGUGUGUGUGUGUGUGUGUGUGUGUGUGUGUGUGUGUGUGUGUGUGUGUGUGUGUGUGUGUGUGUGUGUGUGUGUGUGUGUGUGUGUGUGUGUGUGUGUGUGUGUGUGUGUGUGUGUGAGAGACACAAAGAGAGAGAAAGAAGAGUGUGCGUAUGUGGAACAUCUGAUUAUU